Molecule: long non-coding RNA, 341 nt
Filed under: Polistes fuscatus (common paper wasp)
Lineage: Eukaryota; Metazoa; Arthropoda; Insecta; Hymenoptera; Vespidae
Description: uncharacterized LOC122523181
Source: RNAcentral
UCGCUUUCUUCUCAUCUCUCACCGUUCCAUCUCAUCAUCGUUCCAUCUCAUCUAAUUCUUUUCCUUUUUCUCCUUUUUCAACGAGCCCAGCCUCGUAUUGGGCCUUUCUUACUGAUCAUCUCUUUACACUAUCUUUCUCUUUCAUUAAGGACAUAUCAGCUAGAGGAAAACUGGUGAAAAAAUUAUCCGUAGUUAUAUUUCUUCCGUGAUGAAGAUAUGGUUCCGCUAACUUCAUAACUACAAAUUCGCCCAACGGUGUUGAAUUCCGCGUUUCAUCCUUCCCUAGUGUUAAAAACAGAAAAACAAAAAAAAAACAAAAAAGAAAAAAGAAAAGAAAGAAA